AAAUCCGUCGAUUGAAAAAUCAUGAAGGGUCAAGUCCCUCUAUCCCCA
This 48-nucleotide transfer RNA is filed under the name Trichophorum tepaliferum. Its description in RNAcentral is "Oreobolopsis tepalifera transfer RNA-Leu". Lineage: Eukaryota; Viridiplantae; Streptophyta; Magnoliopsida; Poales; Cyperaceae. The record is from RNAcentral.